UAGGGAAUAUUGCACAAUGGGCGAAAGCCUGGUGCAGCAACGCCGCGUGUGUGAUGAAGGCCUUCGGGUCGUAAGGCACUUUUCUGGGAGAUGAGAAAGGACAGUAUCCCAGGAUAAGUCUCGGCUAACUACGUGCCAGCAGCCGCGGUAAAACGUAGGAGGCGAGCGUUAUCCGGAUUCACUGGGCGUAAAGCGCGUGCAGGUGGCGCGGUAAGUUGGGCGUGAAAUCUCCCGGCUCAACUGGGAGAGGUCGUCCAAUACUACCGUGCUUGAGAGCAGAAGAGGAAGAUGGAAUUCCCGGUGUAGUGGUGAAUGCGUAGAUAUCGGGAGGAACACCAGUGGCGAAGGCGAUCUUCUGGUCUGUUUCUGACACUCAGACGCGACAGCUAGGGUAGUAAACGGGAUUAGGAGACCCCGGUAAUCCUAGCCGUAAACGAUGUGAACUUGGCGUUGGUGGGUUAAACUCCAUCA
This 471-nucleotide ribosomal RNA is filed under the name uncultured Chloroflexota bacterium. RNAcentral's name for it is "bacterial SSU rRNA". It matches the Rfam family "Bacterial small subunit ribosomal RNA", at positions 355 to 842 of the family's 1533-position model. The record is from RNAcentral. Lineage: Bacteria; Bacillati; Chloroflexota.